GAAGGCUCCAAUCACAAAGGAUGCCCGGUUCCACACUCAAGUCUAAUGCCUUACUAAGCUAGUACGUUUGGACCUCAGAACACCCCUGAGACGCCGGUGAGAAUGUCCUCAUUUCACAAAUGAGGACAGGGGACCAGAGAGUCUUUAAGGAAAAAAGAAAGAGAAAUCUAGUUAGGAAGUGGUGGAGCUGAGGCUGGAAGCCAGGACUCUGAUACCGGCCCGCGCACCGCCCCACCCCGCAUCCUGGCUCCAGAACUCCCCGCUGGGACGCGUCUCUCCUGCUGCACCUAGCACAGCUCUAUGACUCACGGGUGUUAGGGCACCGUGCUUAGGGCAGUGACAGGACUGUCAGCAGCCUGAGAGUAUGGCCGCUAAGUCAACUCAGGACUCCCUACCCCGAGACACAGGGGAGCCCUCAGCACUGCCUGUACAAGGGAGGGCGGAGGGAAGGAGCAGUGAAGGACGGAAGGAACGCACUGCUGAGUGUGCUCUGCGUGGCAAGCAGGCUUCAGAGCCUGCUCUUCGCAAGAGGAACUUUCUGCCUGGCCCAAACAGUGACACUGUGAGGCCUGCUGCAGAGACUGAGCUGGUGCCCUGCAGCCUCAGACACCCACGGCAGGACCUGUGUGGAGAGCACCCAUCCUUCCCAGUCAUGCAGCCUAGCCUAGAGACACAAGCAAAGCCAGAACGAGACAGGGCAGUGCUCAUACCCCCCAAAGGACCAUGGCCCCCUGCACAGGGUCUAGCCAUGAGGACCCACUGCCCAACAGGUCCUCCUUCAAAAGCGUAUUGCAGAGGCGGCAGCAGCUCCACCAGCAGGAAUCAGGUUGCCAGCUUAGCCUAUCGAACACAAAACACUGCUGCUUCCCAGCCACGUCAACCAGGAGGAAGAGGGAAAGAGGAUACAGCUGGAUAUGGAAGCUGCAGCCCCAGAAGUUUGGCUGUGUGACUCUGAGCACUGUAUUUGGCCUCUGCCUCAGUGACUUUCUCAUCUGUACAAUGGACCAGUAAUGCCUGUACCUUCUGGGUUGCUGUAAAGCCCAGGAUAACUUCAGAGAGGCAUCUCGCAUAAUGACGGCUGCUUUACCAUCUAAUGAGUACUAAUCAUUACCUUAAAUGUUUAAGAGGCAGGUCUUGCUCUGUUGCCCAGGCUGGGGUACAGUGUCAUGAUCACUGCUCAAUGCAGCCUCGAACUCCUGGGCUCAAGCAAUCCUCCUGCCUCAUUCUCCCAAGAAGCUGAGUCCACAGACAUGUGCCACCAUGACCAGCUAAUUUUUAUUUACUUUAUUAAUCUGUUUAUUUUGAGAUAGAGUCUCACUCUGUUGCCCAGGCUGGAGUGCAGUGGCACGAUCUCGGCUCAUUGCAACCUCCGCCUCCUGGGUUCAAGCGAUUCGCCUGCCUCCAAGCGAUUCUCCUGCCUCAGCCUCCUGAGUAGCUGGGAUUACAGGCACCCACCACCAUACCCAGCUAAUUGUUUUCUGUAUGUUUAGUAGAGAUGGGUUUCACUAUGUUGGCCAGGCUGGUCUCAAACUCUUGACCUCAGGUGAUCUACCCACCUCAGCCUCCCACAGUGCUGAGAUUACAGACAUGAGCCACCAUGCCCGGCCCCGUAAUCAUUACUUACCACCAAGAAUGCCUCUCAUUCCACACUCAUGAACCACAUUUGUCUAUCAGUUUUAAGUGUUAUGAUGGUUACCCUGCUUGUUAUUAAAGCCUGCCAAUAACAGAGCUGAAAUAUCGCAGCCAAAGGCAGAGACACGUGCUAUUCCAGAAAGACCCAACUGCUCUGCAUCUGUGUCAGCCUCCAUUACUCUGGUUCACAAUGUUUCUCUCUCACCCGCAUCUUCUAUUUGUACCUCCUGGUCCCCCAGAUUGGGACCCAUGGGACUAUUUAAUCCAAAAUUUUAUUGAAACAUUGUUGCCGCAAAUUAAGUUUUUUAAAAAUGACAAUAGUUAAAUUAAACUGGUAAAAAG
Long non-coding RNA from Homo sapiens (human), 1974 nucleotides. The record is from Ensembl. NCBI's taxonomy places the organism in Eukaryota, Metazoa, Chordata, Mammalia, Primates, Hominidae.